Molecule: long non-coding RNA, 511 nt
Organism: Jaculus jaculus (lesser Egyptian jerboa)
Lineage: Eukaryota; Metazoa; Chordata; Mammalia; Rodentia; Dipodidae
Exons: 2
Source: RefSeq, a predicted model, not a curated record
GCCCCCAGUCAAACCACACGGACGUGGGGGCCCGCCGCUUUCCGUCCCGGGGAGACCCAGACCGCGCGGGGAAGGAGGAGAGUGGGGCGGAUCAAGUGGCCCCAGCGGGCCGCUUCUGUUUGCGGAGCUCCCUUUCCAGAAACUCUCCUCCACACGAAUGCACCCCCACACCCCCGUGAAUAAUCGGCUGCACAGCCUGCGAUCCGCCUCUCUCGAAAGCCGGGCACUCGGAGCAAACAGGCGAGAAAAGAAAGAAAAGAACGCACCACCGGCCUCCCUACACAAAACCUUGUUUUGCUCUUACGGCGCCUGCACCAUUGCGCUGCCAACGCACGGUGACUUGAACCCAGAAGGCCUGGGCAGUGGGUUAGCCAGCGUGUUUUUGUGUUUGAGGGUUGUUGUUGUGUUGGUGGGGGUGCAAGAUCUGACACGUUGCAAUCGAGCCUCUCCUCUCUCCCUUUCUCUCUCAUUGAUGUUCCUUCCUACUUGUUCUGACAGAUUAAACAUCCGU